GCAGGCGGUUCGGAAAGAAAGAUGUGAAAUCCCAGAGUUUAACUUUGGAACUGCAUUUUUAACUACCGGGCCAGAGUGUGUCAGAGGGAGGUGGAAUUCCGCGUGUAGCAGUGAAAUGCGUAGAUAUGCGGAGGAACACCGAUGGCGAAGGCAGCCUCCUGGGAUAACACUGACGCUCAUGCACGAAAGCGUGGGGAGCAAACAGGAUUAGAUACCCUGGUAGUCCACGCCCUAAACGAUGUCAACUAGCUGUUGGGGCCUUCGGGCCUUGGUAGCGCAGCUAACGCGUGAAGUUGACCGCCUGGGGAGUACGGUCGCAAGAUUAAAACUCAAAGGAAUUGACGGGGACCCGCACAAGCGGUGGAUGAUGUGGAUUAAUUCGAUGCAACGCGAAAAACCUUACCUACCCUUGACACGUCUGGAAUGCCGAAGAGAUUUGGCAGUGCUCGCAAGAGAACCGGAACACAGGUGCUGCAUGGCUGUCGUCAGCUCGUGUCGUGGGAUGUUGGGUUAAGUCCCGCAACGAGCGCAACCCUUGUCAUUAGUUGCUACGAAAGGGCACUCUAAUGAGACUGCCGGUGACAAACCGGAGGAAGGUGGGGAUGACGUCAAGUCCUCAUGGCCCUUAUGGGUAGGGCUUCACACGUCAUACAAUGGUCGGGACAGAGGGUCGCCAACCCGCGAGGGGGAGCCAAUCCCAGAAACCCGAUCGUAGUCCGGAUCGCAGUCUGCAACUCGAC
This 740-nucleotide ribosomal RNA is filed under the name uncultured bacterium. RNAcentral's name for it is "bacterial SSU rRNA". It matches the Rfam family "Bacterial small subunit ribosomal RNA", at positions 571 to 1316 of the family's 1533-position model. The record is from RNAcentral.